ACGCUCGACACCUACGGGGGCAGCAGUGGGGAAUAUUGGGCAAUGGGCGCAAGCCUGACCCAGCAACGCCGCGUGAAGGAAGAAGGCUUUCGGGUUGUAAACUUCUUUUGUCAGGGAACAGUAGAAGAGGGUACCUGACGAAUAAGCUCCGGCUAACUACGUGCCAUCAGCCGCGGUAAUCUGAGCGGGCUGGCAAGGC
This 199-nucleotide ribosomal RNA is filed under the name uncultured bacterium. Its description in RNAcentral is "partial 16S ribosomal RNA". It matches the Rfam family "Bacterial small subunit ribosomal RNA", at positions 328 to 539 of the family's 1533-position model. The record is from RNAcentral.